CUAUACUAAUAUAAAAAUGAGGAGUUGCCCCCUCCAAUCUUACAGGUGAAAUCAUCUCGAUCAAUCCUUACCGUCCAUCUGCGUCUGUCCUGAUCCAUAUCCUCCAUCCAUCCGCCACGGAUUGUCCGCUUCCUCCUUCUCGCGCGAUGAACUUGCGCUGACCAUGCUGGACUCGCGCUCCUCCUCGCCCCGAUUCUCCUCGCCCCGCCUCAGUCCAACGGUGCUCCAGCCGAUGCUCCUCCUCCUCCACCCUAUUCCUCCUCGCAUUCCCCGUUCGCGCCGCCGGAGGGUCGUCCCCUUCCGCCGACGCCGCCAUACUCCACCGAUGCCCUCGCUGGAACCGAUUUCUUCCCCUUCCGCCGGCACCGCAAUCCACAUCACAGGUUCACAGGUCCUCGCCGGAACCGAUUUCUUCCCCUUCCGCCGUGCCACCGUCGCCGCAAUCCACUUCACAGGUUCAUCUUGCGCCGAUUGGUUCCCGUCAGAUUUGAGUAGGAACUAAAGGAACCAUCACUAUUCCCCUGAACCCUAAGUUGAUCCUGUGCAGCCCCUGUCAAUGGAUUUGUAUCCUUUCUUUCUUCUGAACUUUUCAGAUCACUGGAGGCUCUAAAUUUUGCUUGUAAUACAGAUGAUUAGCACUACUCACUGUGAAGCCAUCCUACUGUUCUUGUUCGUAGUUACUGAAAAAUAUAUAAAGCCAUCCUACUGUUCUAUAGGAGAAUCUAAACCCAGUGGCAACAUCACAUGCAAAACACCUCCAUAUGAAAUUAAUCCUUCUUUUUCUUCCUAUUUCCUUGCAGAUCUUCAAAUUUGUGGUUCCCCGAGUAUAUAUAUGCCCAGGUUGUAUGCUUGAAGGUUGUAACUCCUAGCGAUGGACGGCAUUCCUAAAUUAACUGCAAAUGAAUUAAGAAGACAAAGAGACCGAGAGCGGUACGCGGCACUCAGCGUUGAGGAGAAGGCAGCACGAGUUCAAAAGAACCGUGAAAAUAGGAAGAGGAAGAAGUCUGCAUCUACAUCGGGCACAGUUUUGAAUCAGAGCCUGUGCCUUUCUCCACACAUGGUGUGCUUGGCGAUAUUAAAAAUUUGAGUUUGCAUAAUGGAAGCCAAACUGUAGAUUGUCAGCCAUCAUUUCAACCUGUGCCUUCCUCCACACCCGUGUCUUCCUGCACACCUGUUUGCAGAAACCGACAAACCUAAGGAAGUACUUUUUGCGGCACACUUGCCGUAUACUGCUGCAUGCAGCUCAGGCAAUGUCACAGUUAUCAUGCAGGCUCCCAAUGAAGUGCUUUCCAAGUACCACUGAAAUGGUGAAAUUGGUGUAGUUAUCAUGCAUGCUCCCAAUGAGGAAAUAUAGGACAAAUAAACAGAUGACUGUUUUAGACAAGUUCACCCUAUUGAUAGCAUUAAAAUUAGAUGCUCAAGAUGGAUGAUAGUAACAACAAAAGCAAGUGGUUAAGUCCUCCAAUGUUUCAUCAUUUACGGAGGAGUUCAUAAGGCUUGCCCCAGUCUCUCUCGCGGCAAUGGUCUGCGUGUGCUACAAUCUGCAUCCCUCCACGCCUGAGUAAUCCCCUCCGUUCCCAUGUUGACCGACGCGGCCGCCGCUGUCUCCUCCAAAGCAGCAGCGGUCCUAGCCGAAUUGGCCAUCCCCAUUGCCAAACACCAUCACUGGCGCCGGCAGCCUCAAUCCGCGUCGAGUUUUUGUCUCCACCAGCAUAGUGGUCUCUACACAUGAGGCCUCGAGUGACAAAUCAGAGCAGCAAUCAUGCUUUGUUGUGGCUUUUAUCUCUGCCGAUCUCACGGCAAUCUAUCGACAUGCACAUUUGUAUUUUGUAGUUGGAUAAAAAAAAAGUAGCAAUAGUUGCCAUCUUUUUCUCUAGGAAAAACUGAUUUGUUUAUAUGCUUUCUCAGUUUAUGUCAGAGAAAAUGGUUAGUUGAGCUUGUCUCCUAUACUGAAUGUGCUUGGGGUUAACUGGGCUUUCAGUCAGUAAGCAUGGUAACAGACUCUUCAUUGAGUUAAGUAGUCCAAUAAUUAUUUUUUAAAGCAUUUUAGUCAGAGUAGAAACAAUUAUAUUUUUUCUCUACUGACUGCAUCUGGUAUUUUUGGUAAUUAGCUGGCAUCACGUACUUAUGUAUAUAGUCAUAUGGACAUCAAGCAUGUUUGUGGGAUAAUAUAAGAUGCUCUAGGCAGAGUAGAAACAUUUAUAUUUUACAUUCCUUUGUGUCAUAUUUUCCCUUUUUUAGGGAAGGGGGCAGAUCACUGCUCAAUAAUAAAUUUAUUCAUAGUUUA
This is a non-coding RNA of Oryza sativa Japonica Group (Japanese rice), 2287 nucleotides long. The record is from RefSeq and is a predicted model, not a curated record. NCBI's taxonomy places the organism in Eukaryota, Viridiplantae, Streptophyta, Magnoliopsida, Poales, Poaceae.